GUUGGUUCCAAUAAUUUACAAGGAUUGGAGGUCGGUGCCUAAAACCAUAAAGGAGGAAGCGUGGAGUCUUAUAAUGGUAUAAAACUUGUAUUAAACUAUUAUUAUUAAUUAAAUAGGUAUAUUUUGAAAAUUUUGUUAGAAAUCAAGACAUAUACUUGUGUAAAUUUAUUUUGACUGUAGGGCAAGUUUAAAGUUCCUGAUGACAAAUUGGAUGCAUUCAAAAAAUGGAUACUGAAGGACCUGGGGAAGAAAUGGAAAGACUACAAACACGAAUUGAAGAAAAAGUUACUUCAUGAAAAAGACACAUAUGCAGCACAAGUUGUGGCAAGGGCAAGUCCCGAUAUGGUGGAUUUAUCGCAACUAGCGGAGUUGGCCAAUCUUUGGUUCGAUCCAGAAUAUAAGUCAAAAUGUAAUAAAAAUAAGGAGUGUCGUAAGAAGCAGUUGGUUGUUCACAGCGGAGGAUCAAAAAGUUAUGCAAGAUAUGCCCAUGAUGCG
This is a long non-coding RNA of Juglans microcarpa x Juglans regia, 495 nucleotides long. RefSeq lists it as uncharacterized. The transcript is spliced from 2 exons. Lineage: Eukaryota; Viridiplantae; Streptophyta; Magnoliopsida; Fagales; Juglandaceae. The record is from RefSeq and is a predicted model, not a curated record.